ACGCUCGACACCUACGGGAGGCAGCAGUGAGGGAUAUUGGUCAAUGGGGGGAACCCUGAACCAGCAACGCCGCGUGAGGGAUGACGGUCUUCGGAUUGUAAACCUCUGUCCUCUGUGAAGAUAAUGACGGUAGCAGAGGAGGAAGCUCCGGCUAACUACGUGUCAGCAGCCGCGGUAAUCUGAGCGGGCUGGCAAGGC
This 198-nucleotide ribosomal RNA is filed under the name uncultured bacterium. Its description in RNAcentral is "partial 16S ribosomal RNA". It matches the Rfam family "Bacterial small subunit ribosomal RNA", at positions 328 to 539 of the family's 1533-position model. The record is from RNAcentral.